Molecule: non-coding RNA, 2296 nt
Organism: Peromyscus maniculatus bairdii (prairie deer mouse)
Lineage: Eukaryota; Metazoa; Chordata; Mammalia; Rodentia; Cricetidae
Source: RefSeq, a predicted model, not a curated record
AGAGAGAGGAUGUAAAAGUCUCUGAUACUGCUCCAACCCUUAUCUGCAAGCCACCAUACACCCUUCACCAUGAUGUUAAUGGACUAAGCUUCUGAAACUAGGUGAGAAAGACUGGAUAGGAGAAGGAGCUUGUACAGACCUCUCUGACAGAGCAAGCACACUAAGAAGGACAGAGACUGUUCCACUAGCCAUCCUCACGUGCUGGCUCACAGGUCCUCUUGGCAGGCAGAACCACUGACCUGCCCGUCAGUGUCGAGGGCUGUCUGAACUCUCCGAGGAAAAUGGAUCACAGACGAACUGCUUCAUAAAUGCAGAGUACAGCGAAAUAAUAAAUCCAGGCAGCUACAGCAAAGUAACCCUGGGAGUCGCAGGAUGUGAUAAGAGCCACAGCAAGGGGACCCCCAACUGCCCAAAUCCUACCAUUAGACAUUGGUGCCUUAAAGCCUCAAAGGCACCAGUCCACAUGACAAGGUAAAUUCAAGGUCAAAGUAGGAUCCAAUUGGCAAGAUGAAAAGCCUAUUACCCGACAGGGAGGCCAAGGUGAGUCUGGCUACUGAGCUGGACAUCACAGCUAUGAGCAUGGGGAACCAGAAGCGCAGCCAGUAACUAGUACAUGCAGCGACAGGACCGAACGGAAGCAGCUUGUACUUGGAGCUGGAUCUCCUGGCCUACAAAUCCCAGCUCCGCAGCUUCUCAGUGGUACCAACCUCGGGCAUGUGCUUCAGUCUGCCUAGGUCCCAGUAUCUGCAUCUGUCAGGUGAGCAUCACAACAGCCUCUCAAUAGCUAUCUUCCCCAUAGUGCUGGGGAUUGCCCCUGGGGCUCUAGUCAUGUUCUGUUAGCAUCCCACCACUGUACUGUAUCCCCAGCCCUCUUUUUAUUUUACUUACUCCUUUUUUGAGACAAGGUCUCUCUUAGUGACUGAGGUGUCUUUGAACUUAGUCUGUAGCUCAGUGUCUUAGUUUCCUUUCUAUUGCUGGGACAAGACACUGUGACCAAGACAAUUUGUCAUUUACUUGGAGGCUUGCUGACAGUUUUGGAAGGUGAGUCUAUGACUAUCAUGGCAGGGAGCGUGGUAUCAGUAAGGCAGACGUGGCAGUAGCCGAGAGCUUACAUCUAGUGUGCAAGUUGGAGGCAGAAAGAGAGUGAAACUGGGCCUUGCAUGGGCUUUCAAAACCUCAAAGUCCACCCCCAGUGACAUACCUUCUCCAGUGAGACCAUAUCUCCUAAGUUUCCCCAAACAAUUUCACUACCUAAGGACCAAGCAUUCAAAUAUCUGAGCCUGUGUGGGCCAUUCUCGUUCAAACCACCACAUUCAGGCUGGUCUUGAACUUGACAUCCUCCUGUAUCAGCCUUCUGCAGACCUGGGAUUGCAAGCCUAUAACCCCAAGUUACUGUGAAGAUCUCCUAGUGAUAGUAAGUUUCUUUCACUCCCAGAGAGGCAGUUCUAGUUAACGUUUCCCAAGUUCAGGAACAUGUUAGUUAUAGACACAGUUUUAGUAGGUCCUCUCUUUAAGUGUGUGUGUGUGUGUGUGUGUGUGUGUGUGUGUGUUUUGCUAGAAUUCCUUCCACAGGGGAAACAUAAGCAACAUUCACUUCUAAUGUUCCAACAACAAACCAAGGCAUGAUUCCACCAAAGUUCAGUCUGGGGAACCAAAGAAUUAGCUCAUUGGACUUCCUUACAGAGCAUGGAUGAGGAGUUACCUACAGAGGUAUGGGUGCCCCUCCUCACACACCUGAAAAGUCUGUACCCAGAAAGAAUGAGUGCUUCCCCAUAGCUGCAUAGAUGUACCUCAUCCCCUAGACUUCUCUAGUCCAUGUAAUCUAGCCUCUCCCUCAAACAGAAUUGCAUAAAAUAAGUGGUAGCAAGUGAUUGGAUACUCAGGUAAGGGUCCUGUGACCCCCCCCCAUCCCUCCAUGAGGGAUGUAAAUAAUCAAGUCCAGAUGAGAUAAUCCUUUUGCAUGAGAUGCACCAUCCCCAAGAUGGCGGUUGCUUUGCUUGGAGGACAGUCAUCUACCCCAAUGUGUGCAGGCAUGCAGAUGUUGUGGCACAUGGUCAGAGGUCAGAGGACAACUGGCAGGAGUCAUUUCUCUCCCUCUCCCUUGUGAGAUCUGGGGCGGGAUUUAGAUCAUCAGGCCAGGCAGCAAGCACCUUCACACACUGCCCCAAUUCACAGGUUCUUUUUUAGAAAUGUUUUUGUUUAUGUGUAUAGGUGUUUUACCUGUAAGCAUAUCUGUGCACAUGUGUGCAGGCCAGAAAGGGGCACUAGAGGCCAUGGAACUAGAGUUACGGUUGGU